UCCCUCUCUCCCUGUAUCAGUGUCUCUCAGCUCAUCUCUGCUCCUCUCUUCUCCACCAGGUCCCUCUCUCUCUCUUCUGUCCCUCUCUCCCUGUAUCAGUGUCUCUCAGCUCAUCUCUGCUCCUCUCUUCUCCACCAGGUCCCUCUCUCUCUCUACUGUCCCUCUCUCCCUGUAUCAGUGUCUCUCAGCUCAUCUCUGCUCCUCUCUUCUCCACCAGGUCCCUCUCUCUCUCUUCUGUCCCUCUCUCCCUGUAUCAGUGUCUCUCAGCUCAUCUCUGCCUCUCUCUCUCUCUCUUCUGUCCCUCUCUCCCUGUAUCAGUGUCUCUCAGCUCAUCUCUGCUCCUCUCUUCUCCACCAGGUCCCUCUCUCUCUCUUCUGUCCCUCUCUCCCUGUAUCAGUGUCUCUCAGCUCAUCUCUGCUCCUCUCUUCUCCACCAGGUCCCUCUCUCUCUCUUCUGUCCCUCUCUCCCUGUAUCAGUGUCUCUCAGCUCAUCUCUGCUCCUCUCUUCUCCACCAGGUCCCUCUCUCUCUCUUCUGUCCCUCUCUCCCUGUAUCAGUGUCUCUCAGCUCAUCUCUGCUCCUCUCUUCUCCACCAGGUCCCUCUCUCUCUCUUCUGUCCCUCUCUCCCUGUAUCAGUGUCUCUCAGCUCAUCUCUGCUCCUCUCUUCUCCACCAGGUCCCUCUCUCUCUCUACUGUCCCUCUCUCCCUGUAUCAGUGUCUCUCAGCUCAUCUCUGCUCCUCUCUUCUCCACCAGGUCCCUCUCUCUCUACUGUCCCUCUCUCCCUGUAUC
Long non-coding RNA from Oncorhynchus keta (chum salmon), 788 nucleotides. RefSeq lists it as uncharacterized. NCBI's taxonomy places the organism in Eukaryota, Metazoa, Chordata, Actinopteri, Salmoniformes, Salmonidae. The record is from RefSeq and is a predicted model, not a curated record. The transcript has 3 exons.